RNAcentral lists this ribosomal RNA (446 nucleotides) under uncultured bacterium. RNAcentral's name for it is "partial 16S ribosomal RNA". It matches the Rfam family "Bacterial small subunit ribosomal RNA", at positions 338 to 795 of the family's 1533-position model. The record is from RNAcentral.
CCUACGGGGUGCAGCAGUCGAGAAUCAUUCACAAUGGGGGAAACCCUGAUGGUGCGACGCCGCGUGGGGGAAUGAAGGUCUUCGGAUUGUAAACCCCUGUCAUGUGGGAGCAAAUUAAAAAGAUAGUACCACAAGAGGAAGAGACGGCUAACUCUGUGCCAGCAGCCGCGGUAAUACAGAGGUCUCAAGCGUUGUUCGGAAUCACUGGGCGUAAAGCGUGCGUAGGCGGUUUCGUAAGUCGUGUGUGAAAGGGGCGGGCUCAACCCGCGGACGGCACAUGAUACUGGGAGACUAGAGUAAUGGAGGGGGAAGCGGAAUUCGCGGUGUAGCAGUGAAAUGCGUAGAUAUCGAGAAGAACACUCGUGGCGAAGGCGGGUUCCUGGACAUUAACUGACGCUGAGGCACGAAGGCCAGGGGAGCGAAAGGGAUUAGAUACCCGAGUAGUC